This 707-nucleotide ribosomal RNA is filed under the name Russula atrovirens. RNAcentral describes it as "eukaryotic LSU rRNA". The stretch from base 262 to 415 matches the Rfam family "5.8S ribosomal RNA". The record is from RNAcentral. Lineage: Eukaryota; Fungi; Basidiomycota; Agaricomycetes; Russulales; Russulaceae.
GAGGAAGUAAAAGUCGUAACAAGGUUUCCGUAGGUGAACCUGCGGAAGGAUCAUUAUCAUACAAUGGAGGUGCGAGGGCUGUCGCUGACCUUUAAAAGUUGUGCACGCCCGAGUGCUCUCAUACAUCCAUUUCACCCCUUUGUGCAUCACCGCGUGGGGGUCCCUUGAAAGGGGGAGGCCCACGUUUUUUUUAUUAUACAAGCCUCAAAGUUGUGUAGAAUGUACUUUUAUUUUAUUUUUGCGGUGAUACGCAAUCAAUACAACUUUCAACAACGGAUCUCUUGGCUCUCGCAUCGAUGAAGAACGCAGCGAAAUGCGAUACGUAAUGUGAAUUGCAGAAUUCAGUGAAUCAUCGAAUCUUUGAACGCACCUUGCGCCCCUUGGCAUUCCGAGGGGCACACCCGUUUGAGUGUCGUGAAAUCCUCAAAACCCCCCUUCCCUUGAUCACUUUGAUCGAGAAGAGGGUUUUUGGACUUGGAGGAUAUGCUUUCCCUCAUUUUUGAGUGGGAGCUCCUCUUAAACGAAUCAGUGGGGUUGGCUUUGCUGAUCCUUGACGUGAUAAAGUGAUUCUACGUUUUGGAUCUGGCACUGUCCCUUUAAAUGCCUGCUUCUAACCGUCUUAUGGACAAUGAUGGUGUUCUGGUCACCGCUGCCUGUGUUGGUGGGAGGCUAGACCCACAAGAAAAAUGACCUUGACCUCAAAUCGG